GAUGAAGAACGCAGCGAAAUGCGAUACUUGGUGUGAAUUGCAGAAUCCCGUGAACCAUCGAGUCUUUGAACGCAAGUUGCGCCUCAAGCCAUUAGGUUGAGAGCACGUCUGCCUGGGCGUCACAUAUCGUUGCCUGAUGCCAGUUUCCUCGUGAUGGGUGACUGUGCAGGGCGAAUGAUGGCUUCCCGUGAGCAUUGUUGCCUCAUGGUUGGUUGAAAAUUGAGUCCUUGGUAGGGAGCGCCGUGAUAGAUGGUGGUUGAGUGACGAACGAGACCCAAUCAUGUGAGACCCCUACCGAAUUUGGCCUUCAUGACCCACAUGCGUCUUUGGAACGCUCAUGACGAGACCUCAGGUCAGGCGGGGCUACCCGCUGAGUUUAAGCAUAUCAAUAAGCGGAGGA
RNAcentral lists this unclassified non-coding RNA (400 nucleotides) under soil metagenome. Its description in RNAcentral is "partial contains 5.8S ribosomal RNA, internal transcribed spacer 2, and large subunit ribosomal RNA". The stretch from base 1 to 122 matches the Rfam family "5.8S ribosomal RNA", at positions 35 to 154 of the family's 154-position model. The record is from RNAcentral.